CGAUGGAUAGGGGGAACUGAGAGGUUUAUCCCCCCACACUGGUACUGAGACACGGACCAGACUCCUACGGGAGGCAGCAGUGAGGAAUAUUGGUCAAUGGAGGCAACUCUGAACCAGCCACGUCGCGUGAAGGAUGACGGCCCUACGGGUUGUAAACUUCUUUUAUACAGGAAUAAAGUGAGUCACGUGUGACUUUUUGCAUGUACUGUAUGAAUAAGGAUCGGCUAACUCCGUGCCAGCAGCCGCGGUAAUACGGAGGAUCCAAGCGUUAUCCGGAUUUAUUGGGUUUAAAGGGUGCGCAGGCGGAAGAUUAAGUCGGCGGUGAAAUUUUGCAGCUCAACUGUAAAAGUGCCAUCGAUACUGGUUUUCUUGAGUGUGGAUGAAGUAGGCGGAAUUUGUGGUGUAGCGGUGAAAUGCAUAGAUAUCACGAGGAACUCCGAUUGCGCAGGCAGCUUACUAGGCCAUAACUGACGCUCAGGCACGAAGGCGUGGGGAUCAAACAGGAUUAGAUACCCUGGUAGUCCACGCAGUAAACUAUGAUUACUCGCUGUUUGCGAUACACAGUAAGCGGCUUAGCGAAAGCGUUAAGUAAUCCACCUGGGGAGUACGUUCGCAAGAAUGAAACUCAAAGGAAUUGACGGGGGCCCGCACAAGCGGAGGAACAUGUGGUUUAAUUCGAUGAUACGCGAGGAACCUUACCCGGGCUUGAAAUGCAUCUGACAGGAGCAGAGACGCUCUCUCCCUUCGGGGCAGAUGUGUAGGUGCUGCAUGGUUGUCGUCAGCUCGUGCCGUGAGGUGUCGGCUUAAGUGCCAUAACGAGCGCAACCCUCAUCAUUAGUUACCAUCAGGUUAAGCUGGGGACUCUAAUGAGACUGCCAUCGUAAGAUGCGAGGAAGGUGGGGAUGACGUCAAAUCAGCACGGCCCUUACGUCCGGGGCGACACACGUGUUACAAUGGGUGGUACAAAGGGCAGCUACAUGGCGACAUGAUGCUAAUCUCCAAAACCACUCUCAGUUCGGAUCGGAGUCUGCAACUCGACUUCGUGAAGCUGGAUUCGCUAGUAAUCGCGCAUCAGCCACGGCGCGGUGAAUAAGUUCCCGGGCCUUGUCACACCGCCCG
RNAcentral lists this ribosomal RNA (1119 nucleotides) under uncultured bacterium. Its description in RNAcentral is "bacterial SSU rRNA". It matches the Rfam family "Bacterial small subunit ribosomal RNA", at positions 277 to 1396 of the family's 1533-position model. The record is from RNAcentral.